GAUGAACUGGCAUCUUUAAAAGAACAACUAGAAGAAAAGGAAUCUGAAGUAAAAAGACUACAAGAAAAAUUGAUUUGCAAGAUGAAAGGAGAUGGGAUUGAAAUUGUUGAUAGAGCAAGGAUUGUCUUCAAUCUGGAAAUGACAGAACAAUCACCCUUUAAAAUAAGGAAGUGCAAUUCAGUGAAGACAGGUGCUACUGUCUUCCCGUCAGUCUGUGUUACCCCAGAACCAUCUCUGUUCUAAGCCAAGGUGUGGAAGAAGCCCUUCCCAUAAUUCUGCUAAGCUUUGUCAUGCAAUCUCAUGGUAUCUCCAUCAGACAUCUGAAUUGAGCCUUGAAGUGUGAGUAGGAGUUCAUCAGGGCUGCAUAGUGUUCCAUGGAUGCUUAGACCACAGUUUACUUAGCCAACCCCUACUGAGGAACACUGAAGUUGUUUCCUGUUUUUCAAAAGUAUAAACAAAGU
This is a long non-coding RNA of Pan troglodytes (chimpanzee), 461 nucleotides long. RefSeq lists it as uncharacterized. The record is from RefSeq and is a predicted model, not a curated record. Lineage: Eukaryota; Metazoa; Chordata; Mammalia; Primates; Hominidae. The transcript has 4 exons.